AAUUUUUAUAACUUUUUAGAGCAUGAAAGAUUAGAAAGUCUGAGCUCCGCCAUGCCUGUUUCCAAUUCUUCCUGCAUCUCUUUAGUUCUUUGCUUCCUUGGCCCAAGUUGACCUUCUCCUAGCUUGUCUAUUUUUGGAUUCUUUGGGUGCUGUUCAAUCCAGCUGGGUGCGUUGCUUGCCCUUUCAAUUGGUUGAGUUUCUUUGUGUCUGUGCCCCUCUAGUGAUCUGCAGUCUCCCUUCUGAUAGCCAAUGGUUUCAUCUGAAGAAUGGUGUUGAGCCAAAAGCAUGGUUGCCGGAUCUAGGGAUUGCGUAUCUUUUGCUUGGUUUAAUUAGGUUUUCUUGAUGUCAGGCUCUCGGCCUUUUUCUCUCUCAGCCUGCGGUUCAAAGUGCAAUCGGGUGAUUUUGGCUAGUGAACUUUGGG
This 421-nucleotide unclassified non-coding RNA is filed under the name Hevea brasiliensis (rubber tree). The record is from RNAcentral. Lineage: Eukaryota; Viridiplantae; Streptophyta; Magnoliopsida; Malpighiales; Euphorbiaceae.